AGAUUGAACGCUGGCGGCAGGCCUAACACAUGCAAGUCGAGCGGCAGCACGGGUACUUGUACCUGGUGGCGAGCGGCGGACGGGUGAGUAAUGCCUAGGAAUCUGCCUGAUAGUGGGGGAUAACGCUCGGAACCGGACGCUAAUACCGCAUACGUCCUACGGGAGAAAGCAGGGGACCUUCGGGCCUUGCGCUAUCAGAUGAGCCUAGGUCGGAUUAGCUAGUUGGUGGGUAAUGGCUCACCAAGGCGACGAUCCGUAACUGGUCUGAGAGGACGACCAGCCACACUGGGACUGAGACACGACCCAGACUCCUACGGGAGGCAGCAGUGGGGAAUUUUGGACAAUGGGCGCAAGCCUGAUCCAGCAAUGCCGCGUGAGUGAAGAAGGCCUU
RNAcentral lists this ribosomal RNA (391 nucleotides) under uncultured soil bacterium. Its description in RNAcentral is "bacterial SSU rRNA". It matches the Rfam family "Bacterial small subunit ribosomal RNA", at positions 26 to 418 of the family's 1533-position model. The record is from RNAcentral.